GCCUUCGUGGUGUAGUGGUCAGCACACUCAGCGCAUAUUCAAGAGGUCCGGGUUCGAGUCCCGGCGAGGGCA
Molecule: non-coding RNA, 72 nt
Organism: Stegodyphus dumicola
Lineage: Eukaryota; Metazoa; Arthropoda; Arachnida; Araneae; Eresidae
Source: the annotation of a RefSeq genome assembly